This 422-nucleotide ribosomal RNA is filed under the name uncultured bacterium. RNAcentral describes it as "bacterial SSU rRNA". It matches the Rfam family "Bacterial small subunit ribosomal RNA", at positions 794 to 1224 of the family's 1533-position model. The record is from RNAcentral.
UCCACGCCGUAAACGAUGAGAACUAAGUGUUGGGGUUACCCAGUGCUGAAGUUAACGCAUUAAGUUCUCCGCCUGGGGAGUACGACCGCAAGGUUGAAACUCAAAGGAAUUGACGGGUCUCCGCACAAGCGGUGGAGCAUGUUGUUUAAUUCGAAGAUACGCGAAGAACCUUACCAGGUCUUGACAUCUCGAUGACCGGCAUAGAGAUAUGCCUUUCCUUCGGGACAUCGAUGACAGGUGGUGCAUGGUUGUCGUCAGCUCGUGUCGUGAGAUGUUGGGUUAAGUCCCGCAACGAGCGCAACCCCUAUUGAUAGUUGCUAACAUUAAGUUGAGGACUCUAUCGAGACUGCCAGUGAUAAACUGGAGGAAGGUGGGGAUGACGUCAAAUCAUCAUGCCCCUUAUGACCUGGGCUACAAACGUG